UACGUAGGUGACAAAUGUUAUCCGGAAUUACUGGGCGUAAAGGGUCUGUAGGCGGAUGUUUAGGUCUGAUGUGACACCUCCCGGCUCAACUGGGAGUAUGCAUUGGAAACCGGACAACUAGAAUCACGUCGAGGUCGGUGGAAUUCCCGGUGUAGUGGUGGAAUGCGUAGAGAUCGGGAGGAACCUCGAAAGCGAAGGCAGCCGGCUAGACGAUGAUUGACGCUGAGGGACGAUAGCGUGGGGAGCAAACAGG
This 253-nucleotide ribosomal RNA is filed under the name uncultured prokaryote. RNAcentral describes it as "partial 16S ribosomal RNA". It matches the Rfam family "Bacterial small subunit ribosomal RNA", at positions 524 to 776 of the family's 1533-position model. The record is from RNAcentral.